Molecule: ribosomal RNA, 1043 nt
Filed under: uncultured bacterium
Lineage: Bacteria
Description: bacterial SSU rRNA
Rfam family: Bacterial small subunit ribosomal RNA
Source: RNAcentral
AGAGUUUGAUCAUGGCUCAGGAUGAACGCUGACGGCGUGCUUAACACAUGCAAGUCGAACGGUGAAGCCAAGCUUGCUUGGUGGAUCAGUGGCGAACGGGUGAGUAACACGUGAGCAACCUGCCCCGGACUCUGGGAUAAGCGCUGGAAACGGCGUCUAAUACCGGAUAUGAACCACAGCCGCAUGGUUGGUGGUUGGAAAGAUUUUUUGGUUCGGGAUGGGCUCGCGGCCUAUCAGCUUGUUGGUGAGGUAAUGGCUCACCAAGGCGUCGACGGGUAGCCGGCCUGAGAGGGUGACCGGCCACACUGGGACUGAGACACGGCCCAGACUCCUACGGGAGGCAGCAGUGGGGAAUAUUGCACAAUGGGCGGAAGCCUGAUGCAGCAACGCCGCGUGAGGGAUGACGGCCUUCGGGUUGUAAACCUCUUUUAGCAAGGAAGAAGCGAAAGUGACGGUACUUGCAGAAAAAGCGCCGGCUAACUACGUGCCAGCAGCCGCGGUAAUACGUAGGGCGCAAGCGUUAUCCGGAAUUAUUGGGCGUAAAGAGCUCGUAGGCGGUUUGUCGCGUCUGCUGUGAAAACUGGAGGCUCAACCUCCAGCCUGCAGUGGGUACGGGCAGACUAGAGUGCGGUAGGGGAGAUUGGAAUUCCUGGUGUAGCGGUGGAAUGCGCAGAUAUCAGGAGGAACACCGAUGGCGAAGGCAGAUCGCUGGGCCGUAACUGACGCUGAGGAGCGAAAGGGUGGGGAGCAAACAGGCUUAGAUACCCUGGUAGUCCACCCCGUAAACGUUGGGAACUAGUUGUGGGGGCCAUUCCACGGUCUCCGUGACGCAGCUAACGCAUUAAGUUCCCCGCCUGGGGAGUACGGCCGCAAGGCUAAAACUCAAAGGAAUUGACGGGGACCCGCACAAGCGGCGGAGCAUGCGNUUAAUUCGAUGCAACGCGAAGAACCUUACCAAGCUUGAANAUAAUACGANAACGGGCAGAAAUGGUCAACUUNUUUGNCACUCGUAAACAGUGGNGCAUGUNGUCGUCAGCUCGNNC